RNAcentral lists this long non-coding RNA (2874 nucleotides) under Mus musculus (house mouse). Its description in RNAcentral is "predicted gene 5464". Lineage: Eukaryota; Metazoa; Chordata; Mammalia; Rodentia; Muridae. The record is from RNAcentral.
CGCCUUUCGCGCCCUUUCUGUGAGCCCGGGCGGGCGAGCGGCGGCUGCGGCUGGCGGCGGCCCCAGAUGCUUCAUCUGCAAUGCAGGCCACAAUGGAGGGGUGAUCGUCCCGGGAGGGUGAGGAGGGGGCGCAAGCCCGCGACGGAGGGGCUUCGGUACAGCCCGGGCGGCAUGCACACGCCUGCCCGCGCGCCAAUCCGCGGAGGCCGCCGCUGCAGCCCCGCGUGGGGUGACUGCGCAGAGCCAAUGGCCUCGCUGACGGCGAGCGCGCGACUGCACCGCGGCUUCCCCCGCCCUGCUCAUCAAGCGCGGCCUCCGCCCUGCAGCGGCUGCUGCGGCAGGAGACUGCCGGCUGGAGGGACGAGGACAGCAUCCGGGAAAGUCUUGGGCUACCGGGCACCGGACGCCCCGCCCCAAAACUGUUUUUUUUUUUUUUGUGACUGCUGGCUACCAAGAAGAAGAGAUGGAGGCCAGCGCCUGUGGGGCAAAAGGGCCCGGUCUAGCGCCCUGGCCGCCCUCCUGGCUAGCACUCCAAGACUCUCUCCUUUGUGUAGUUGUGGCGCUUGCAGAUCUAAGGAGGAAAAGCUGUUGUAGUUCAUUUCCUGAAGCCCGAAGCAACGAAAUGGGUUAUGAAGGAGCAAUAACAAGAGAUAGGAGAGGUUAUAUCCCACAGAAAGAGGAAACUGAGUCAUGGAGAAACAGAACCUCUAGUCACUAAGGGUGUACCAGGCCUCCCCUAAUGAUCCUAGUGGUAAAAUAGACCUGAAAGCCUUUGACUGUCAAACCAGGCUAAAGAUCUAACAGUGCGGUAGACAGAAGGAAGGUUCUCUAGGCAGAUGACAGAACUUCUGCUAAGGCAUGGCUUUGACCUUCUCACCUUGAGAUCAGAGAAUGCGUGUAGUCACUGCUUAAUCUAGGUCAUCGGGUGCCCUUUCGGUAAGGAAGUCAUCUGUCUAACUGAUUCACACCUGCUGAGCAAGAAUUAGCCAGAUAAAGACAGAAUCGUUCUGAGGCUCUAUAUUUCCCAGUUUGUUGUUUGUUUGUUUGUUUGUUUGUUGUCUGCACCUGGCCACACGAUAGGGGUCUUCUGCCUUUCUAUUCUCAAAGGAGGUGUAAAAUUCACCCUUUCAACCCCUGCCUUAAAAAUCUACAGUCCCUGAGGGAGGGUUAUGAGGCAGUCUUCACUUUUAAGUUCUGAUUUAAGCUGUGCAUCUUGAAAACAGAAGCCAGUCCCUAUGUCCUGUUCCAACUGGAUAAUGUGCACUAGCUGGGCUAGCUGGUACCUAAAUACUGGUGUCAGCCAUUAGGUAGGCGCUGUAGUCCCAGCACUCGGGAUGCAGAGAAAGAAGGAUCAAGAUCCACCUAGACAGUAUCAUAGAUAGGUAGGUAGGUAGGUUGGUAGGUAGAUAGAUGAUGGAAGGAUGGAUGAAUGGAUACAUACAUACAUACAUACAUACAUACAUACAUACAGAGAUUGGAUCAAGAUCCACCUAGACAGUAUCAUAGGUAGGUUGGUAGGUAGAUAGAUGAUGGAAGGAUGGAUGAAUGCAUGGAUACAUACAUACAUACAUACAUACAUACAUACAUACAUGCAUAGAUUGGAUCAAGAUCCACCUAGACAGUAUUAUAGGUAGGUAGGUAGGUAGGUAGGUAGAUAGAUAGAUAGAUAGAUAGAUAGAUAGAUAGAUAGAUAGAUAGAUAGAUGGAUAGAAGAUAGAAAGAUAGGUGGAUCGAUGAAAAUAAAGCAAAACUUUCCAGGAAAGCCCACUGUAAGGUUCAGCUAGCAGUCAGCAGGAGGAGGGCCCUAUUAAAUCACAGGGGAAAUAACUACUUGUUAGGCAAGGUUAAUGAGAUUCACAUUAAUUUAAACAAAAUAGCCUCUAGUUACAUUGUUUGUUUUUGUUGCACUUUCCUGCACUUGAUCUUAAUGGAUUUAGAUUCAUCUUGUUAUUUACCAAUUUGCUGUGAAAUAUUUUGUUUGGUUCUAUCUAUCCAUCUCAUUAGUGUCAAGCUCCUCCCUAUAGCCAGACACGCAAGGUUCUUAACCCAUGAUAAUUGACAUUUCUGCCCAUAAAUGUCCAGAGACAGAAGGUUAAAACUGAUUUAUCUGCUCUGGCUGGAGCUUAAGAGAGUAUUUGGCACAUAGAAGGCCCAGGAAAAAAAAAAACAAACUUUAAUUAAUGAAGGAAAAUACUUGUAGUUGCAUAUCUUAGUGAACUUUCUGCUCAAUUCAGUGCAGGAACAUAAAAAGGGAUGAGAAAGAAGCAUCUAGACUGACCGAUCGGUUACCAUGAACUGUAACUGUUAACUCUCUGUAAAGACACUCAAUGGAAAAUUCCUAGGAAAUCAUUAUCUGGGAAUAGGAUAUUGGUGCCAGUCUCCAAGACUUCUGGGUGUUUAAAAGUUAAAUGCUUGACAACAAGGAUGAAUCUAUCUAUUCUGCAUUCACAGUCUCUUCCAGAGCCCACCUCCCUACAAUUCCUCACCCAACACCAACCAGGAAAGGGCAAGCAUUGGUGUCCCUGUGAGACAGUCCUUAUGGUAGUAACACCCCAAGCAUCUGGCGCAGUCUUGGGGAAUAAACUGAAGGGGGAGUUGAGACUGACUUCAGCCGCCCCCUGGACUCCCAGACAGUCCCCAUGCUCAGCAGAUAUACAGAGCUUCAAAGCAAACCUCUUCUUGCAGAGAAGAAAAAGACACCUCCCAAUAGUAGUGUUUGCCUACGUGCUCAGAGCCCAGUGGCCUUUAGCUGGGCCUGUUGGCAUAGGCUUGUACCUGCAGCUACUCAGGACGCCGAGGCAGGAGAAACACAAGAUUCACUGCUGGUCUGUCCAGCUUUCCAUGACCGUAUCUCAAAAUAAAGAAGUAGAAAAG